Molecule: transfer RNA, 73 nt
Filed under: Crassvirales sp.
Lineage: Duplodnaviria; Heunggongvirae; Uroviricota; Caudoviricetes; Crassvirales
Description: tRNA-Trp
Rfam family: tRNA
About the family: Transfer RNA (tRNA) molecules are approximately 80 nucleotides in length. Their secondary structure includes four short double-helical elements and three loops (D, anti-codon, and T loops).
Source: RNAcentral
UGGGAAGUAGCUCAAUUGGUAGAGCACUGGUCUCCAAAACCAGUAGUUGUGGGUUCAAUUCCUGCCUUCUCAG